CGGGCGGGGCACGUUCCUUGUCCCUGGAUUGACUUUUCCCGGUCUUUACUCGCUGUGCCCGGGUGCCCGGCCCGUGCCGUGGGGUCAAGGCCCCAUCGCAGAGCAUGGCCGGGCGAGUUUGGUUCCUGCCCGCCGGAGCCGUUUCGCUUGGACGGAGGUGUCUAGCCUGUAGAGGCAUGGUGCGGUCAAAUACCCGAUAACUCCUUUACAGGGUGGCGGAAUUUGUCUCUUGGGGUAUUUGGUGUCUCCGAGAGGACAGCUGGGGGUGUGUCAGACACCCCUUUUGGAAGCAGCUCGCUCUCCUUCUCGGGGUUGUGUAUGUGAGGAUGGAAAUAUGAAAUAAAGUUUUGUUUGUAGAAGA
Oenanthe melanoleuca is the source of this 361-nucleotide long non-coding RNA. RefSeq lists it as uncharacterized. NCBI's taxonomy places the organism in Eukaryota, Metazoa, Chordata, Aves, Passeriformes, Muscicapidae. The transcript is spliced from 2 exons. The record is from RefSeq and is a predicted model, not a curated record.